This 803-nucleotide ribosomal RNA is filed under the name uncultured Pelagibacteraceae bacterium. RNAcentral describes it as "bacterial SSU rRNA". It matches the Rfam family "Bacterial small subunit ribosomal RNA", at positions 35 to 886 of the family's 1533-position model. Lineage: Bacteria; Pseudomonadati; Pseudomonadota; Alphaproteobacteria; Candidatus Pelagibacterales; Candidatus Pelagibacteraceae. The record is from RNAcentral.
GCUGGCGGCACGCCUAACACAUGCAAGUCGAACGAAGUAGCAAUACUUAGUGGCAGACGGGUGAGUAACAUGUAGGUAUCUUCCCUUUGGCCUGGAAUAACACGAGGAAACUUGUGCUAAUACUGGAUAAGUCUUUACAGAGAAAGCUUUAUGCACCAUUGGAUGAGCCUGCACUUGAUUAGUUUGUUGGUGGGGUAAUGGCCUACCAAGACUUUGAUCAAUAGCUGAUUUGAGAGGAUGAUCAGCCACAUUGGGACUGAGACACGGCCCAAACUCCUACGGGAGGCAGCAGUGGGGAAUCUUGCACAAUGGAGGAAACUCUGAUGCAGCGAUGCCGCGUGAGUGAAGAAGGCCUUUGGGUUGUAAAGCUCUUUCGUCGGGGAAGAAAAUGACUGUACCCGAAUAAGAAGGUCCGGCUAACUUCGUGCCAGCAGCCGCGGUAAUACGAAGGGACCUAGCGUAGUUCGGAAUUACUGGGCUUAAAGAGUUCGUAGGUGGUUGAAAAAGUUGGUGGUGAAAUCCCAGAGCUUAACUCUGGAACUGCCAUCAAAACUUUUCAGCUAGAGUUUGAUAGAGGAAAGCAGAAUUUCUAGUGUAGAGGUGAAAUUCGUAGAUAUUAGAAAGAAUACCAAUUGCGAAGGCAGCUUUCUGGAUCAUUACUGACACUGAGGAACGAAAGCAUGGGUAGCGAAGAGGAUUAGAUACCCUCGUAGUCCAUGCCGUAAACGAUGUGUGUUAGACGUUGGAAAUUUAUUUUCAGUGUCGCAGCGAAAGCGAUAAACACACCGCCUGGGGAGUACGAC